Molecule: ribosomal RNA, 779 nt
Filed under: uncultured bacterium
Lineage: Bacteria
Description: bacterial SSU rRNA
Rfam family: Bacterial small subunit ribosomal RNA
Source: RNAcentral
AGAGUUUGAUCAUGGCUCAGGACGAACGCUGGCGGCGUGCCUAACACAUGCAAGUCGAACGAGGUCCAACCAGUGGCAACACCGGUGAAGACCUAGUGGCGAACGGGUGAGUAACACGUGAGGAACCUGCCCCGAAGACCGGGAUAACUCUCCGAAAGGAGUGCUAAUACCGGAUGUCCCCACCGGACCGCAUGGUCUGGUGAGGAAAUGGAUUCCGCUUCGGGAGGGCCUCGCGGCCUAUCAGCUAGUUGGUGGGGUAACGGCCCACCAAGGCAUCGACGGGUAGCUGGUCUGAGAGGACGAUCAGCCACACUGGGACUGAGACACGGCCCAGACUCCUACGGGAGGCAGCAGUGGGGAAUCUUGCGCAAUGGGCGAAAGCCUGACGCAGCAACGCCGCGUGGGGGAUGAAGGCUCUCGGGUUGUAAACCCCUUUCAGCAGGGACGAAUCAAGACGGUACCUGCAGAAGAAGCCCCGGCUAACUACGUGCCAGCAGCCGCGGUAACACGUAGGGGGCAAGCGUUGUCCGGAUUUAUUGGGCGUAAAGAGCUCGUAGGUGGUUGAGUAAGUCGGAUGUUAAAUCCCCAGGCUCAACCUGGGACACCACCCGAUACUGCUCUGGCUAGAGUCCGGUAGGGGAGCGUGGAAUUCCUGGUGUAGCGGUGAAAUGCGCAGAUAUCAGGAGGAACACCAGCGGCGAAGGCGGCGCUCUGGGCCGGUACUGACACUGAGGAGCGAAAGCGUGGGUAGCAAACAGGAUUAGAUACCCUAGUAGUCC